AGGAUAGACUAAUUUACUUGGUGAACCAAUGCUCUGAUACCAAAUGAUGCGGAACCCCAAGACCCUUGCUUGAACCAUAGAACUCUUCAAUCGGUUUAGAACGGAAUUUAGAUCAUAAGUAAAAAAAGGAAUCAAAUUUGUUCAAUCACCCAAAUGGUAGAAGUUAAAGAGAACCCAAGAAAGAUAAAUGAUAUCCCUUGAACCCAAUCCAAACAAGCACCAAGAACAAUUGAAAUAGGAAAUCAAAAUUGAAAUACAAGUGAUAACAAUUGUAUUCCAAAUCAACACCUUGUGCAUAAAGUGAAAAGAAAGCCAAAACGCUCUCAACUAAAUUCUGAAAUGUCUGAUUACAACUCUUGAUGUCUACAAAGAAGAGUUCCUUGGGUAUUUAUAGCCAAAGAAAUCAAUGAUAAGUUACAAUACAAUAACUACAAUUGUAACUCCCACAAUAACUAUGAUAAUUAUGUGGUAAUUACAACUAUAACUCCCACAAUAACUAGGCUAAUUAUAGGCAUGUAAUUGUUAUGUAACUCCUUGUAACUCCAAUCUUCUUAACCAACACCACUAAUUGUUUGUGGCACCAUAUAGUUAUGGGCUCAUUCUUGUAAUAACAAUAAGACAAGAUUUAAGCCCAAAAUGAGUUAUACUUAACUAUAUGGGCUUAAUUAACUCAAACUAAA
Molecule: long non-coding RNA, 680 nt
Filed under: Carica papaya (papaya)
Lineage: Eukaryota; Viridiplantae; Streptophyta; Magnoliopsida; Brassicales; Caricaceae
Description: long non-coding RNA (CPAP_LNC004994)
Source: RNAcentral